CGUGGUCCCUUGGCGCAAUUGUUCCAUUUCACAAACCAUUCCCUUUGUUCUUCAUUUCUUUCGAUUCUUAUUCUGUUAACGACGGUGGAGAGAUGAGCGGUGAGGGUGGAGGAGUUUCGCUGCAGUUCCUGAUAGUGAGAGAACAAAUCAUCUCUUGAUUUUGUUGAUGUUGUUUUUCUUCGAAUAACAGAAUCAAUAGAGGUGCAAAUUAACCAAUGAGAAAUGAAGGUCAGGAUCCCUGCAAUCAUUGACGGAAGGUGAAAGCAUAAAUUUGAACUCUUUAUAAGUUAUAUAGGAUGAAAAACCUACUUUUAUUAUCAUCGUCUCUGUGAUUUUGGUUUCUUCUCUACGACCACUAUAUUACAAUUAUUAAAGAUAAUGAUAAAUCUAUUCUUGCCCGGCCUUUUGUUGAAGCAUCCUCCUUCCUUAACAAGAUCGAAACCCAACUCCGCAAUCUCUGCUGUGGUGCUUUCGUUCUAAGCCUUUCAGUUAGUUCUUCCCUUUUCUCGCUCUUCCCCUCUUUUUUGUUAUGCAGAAAUUUCAUGUAGGUAUUUGUUAAGGAUCCAUGCUCGAGGACUUUGAGGAGAGAAAAAGGGUUGGAUGCUUUGUUUGCAUCACGCUUCAUAACUCCGGUAUUCCAUCACAAAGGCUUUCUGCAUAGCAUUUGUCAUUAUCUUCUUUUCCAUUUUUGAUGUCCCCGUCUUUUAGCCUAUAUUGCUCUGUUAUGGGUUGUCCUCUUUGCCCUCACAAUGAGGCGUCAAAUUGCACACAUGAUCAAGCAUAAAUACAUCCAGUUCAACCUUGGAAAACAGAAAUAUGGUGGUAAGAAAUCUUAUGCAAGUAGUAGUGGCACAUUUGCAGAAUGAAUCUUUGCUGUUUGAAACAAUACAGACUUUCUGAAUAGGUGAAAAGAAAUAUAGAGGGGUAGUUGAACUUUCACCCUUUAUUUGAAGUAAUAUUUACUCAGAGUAUCAUGGAUGCCAAUGUCUGGAAGAAAAUGGAGUAGUUUGCAUUUGUUUUAAAAUACCAGGGAGAAUGAUAAUCUGGCCAAGAAUGGUGACACUAAAUUAGCUCGAAGCAUUAUGCAGAUACAGCUGAAAAAUUUGAUAGAAGCAAAUCCUCUAUUUCGUGAUAAGCUUCUGUUUCCUACUCUUAAAUCAUUGAGAUUGAGGACGUUAAUCAAUCAAAGGUAGUGAUGCUUUGGUUAUUGGAUUAACAAGAAAAUGAGAGCUUUUGAUUAUUAAUCUCUUCUGCAUCACAAAGUAUUUUAUUGACAUAUACAGCUAUAGUAUUUUAGCAUUUUGCUUAAGGUUUAUUCCUAUUAUAAUGAUUCAGUCAUUGCCUAUAUUAUUUAGUUCUUGUAUUCUUGUAUAUUGUUUUAGUAGUCUAGUUUGUUAUGACUUUCAAUUUCUUUUCUCAAUCCCUUUUUUCCCCUUAUCAAUGAAUGAAGUUUGAGUUGGCAGCAUCAGCUUUGCAAAAGAAGGCCAAACCCAGAUUUCAAGACUUUAUUUACAAUAUCACGCAUGUUCACCUCCUAAUGGUCCUCUCACACCUACACCUGUCAAUCUUCCAGUUGAUGCAGUUGCAAAGCCUACUGUUUAUUCAUCACUUGGUGAUCAUGGUUUGUGAUCUUACAAAACUUGAACAUUAGUUUACAUCUCUAUAGGAGUAAUAGUAAUCAGCCGAAUCCAGAUUAAUAUUUGGUCCUUAUUUAUUUGCUGUAGUCCUACCCACCUACUGUAGCUUCUUCUAUUUUAUUUGCUGUAGUCCUUUCCACCUGCUUUAACUUCUUCUAAUUAUAUAGUUGGUUGGAUGGCCAAUGCUUCUACUUAAUCAUCUGUCCAAGCAGCAGUUGUCACAGCAUCGUCCAUGCCUGUUGCUCAAAAUCAAGGUUAAAGAUAACAUACCAAUGGAACUAUAUUGAUAUUAGAAGUAUUAUAAUAGGAGAUAGUGACAAUUUAACCCCCAGUUUACUCAUUUCUAUAUGAAGAGGCGUGGGCAAAAUUGUGUAUUUGCUUGAUGUCACUGUUGUGGCAUUUGAAAUGCUGGAAUAUUUCGUGUUUCUAAAGGAGUGGUUGUGGAUAUGAGGGAUAGCAUAUAUGAAUUUCUUUCUUUUCAUAGUAAAGCUCACCUCUUCUCGAUAUAGAAUGUUGUAUUGUACUGGUAAUUUUCGCAGUUUUUCUGUUGGCACUUCACAUGUCGUGAUUCAUAUUUUUCAUAUCCAUAAUUUAUGUGAUGCCUCUAUAAGCAAUUUAUUUUUUUUUUAUGUUCUUUUUAUUAAGCAUAUUCCAUUACUUUAAUAUGUUUUUUCCGCCUUCUUUUCGUUUUAUCUUUCUUACUAGAAUAUUAUUAUCAGACUAUAAAAGAUAACAGGGAGGAAGGGACAGACUAGUAUUAUUUUUUCUAAUAUUUAGAAGAAGACCUCUUUGCCUGUGAUGAUUAUAAGUUUCAUAGAUGAUUAGAUUGAGAUUGACGUCAUCUUAUAGGUUGAUGCUACUUCAUUAAAUUUAUAUGCCCAUUGGAUUGUGGUAUGGGUUUAUUGCAGCUGACUGGGGGGAUUGAGAAUCCAUAGGAUUGUGUUUUGCAAGGGGAUUGUUGAAGUUUGUUUUGCCUCUUUUGGAUUCAUAGUCUCAUGUUGGCUAUUGGGAGUGAAAAUGACAAACAUUGACUAUUGAUUUGAUAAUUAGUUCUCAAUGUUUCUGCAUAAUUAAUGAUUGGAUCUUUUCUCCAUUGGUUAAGACAAGUUGAAAAAAAAGGCUUUUGUUAUGCAUGUUGAAGAGGCGAGAGUUUCGUGAGUCAAUUUGUUCUAGGAGGGUUUCUUAUUUGGUUAGUGUAAGAAGUGGGGGUGUUGUUUAGCUUGUGCAACCAAAAGGUUUCUGAUUAUUGAUGUUAAGGCUAGCAUCUGGUGACUGGUACAGCUUGGAUAAAUUUGUGUCACUAUUGUGAUUCAAUCAGUGCAUAUCAUUUUUGUUUUUGUUUUACUUUAUUUUGGCCAUUGCUUAAUUUGUG
This is a long non-coding RNA of Prosopis cineraria, 3009 nucleotides long. RefSeq lists it as uncharacterized. The record is from RefSeq and is a predicted model, not a curated record. The transcript is spliced from 3 exons. NCBI's taxonomy places the organism in Eukaryota, Viridiplantae, Streptophyta, Magnoliopsida, Fabales, Fabaceae.